This is a long non-coding RNA of Tympanuchus pallidicinctus (lesser prairie-chicken), 4643 nucleotides long. RefSeq lists it as uncharacterized. NCBI's taxonomy places the organism in Eukaryota, Metazoa, Chordata, Aves, Galliformes, Phasianidae. The transcript has 2 exons. The record is from RefSeq and is a predicted model, not a curated record.
GGGGCUGUGGAUGCCCCGUCCCUGCAGGCAUUCAAGGCCAGGCUGGUUGUGGCUCUGGGCAGCCUGGGCUGCUGGUUGGCGACCUGCACACAGCAGGGGGUUGGAAGGAGAUGAGCGCUGUGCUCCUUUUCAGCCCAGGCUGUUCUGUGUGUGCCGAGGUGAAGCUGUAGUGCUGACUGCAGCUCCCUGCGCUGUGGCUGGAGCGUGUCUGAGCCUGCACGGCUCGGUGCGUUUCACUCUUCCUACAGCAGAAACUCCUUUUGGGAAGUUAUUUUCUUAAAAUUCGGGCUUGCUUUAUGUCAGUCAGCACUGAAUGAAUUUGCACUUGAAUACCUGCUCAAGGCUUUUAGUGCAGGAGCAGUGCAGGGACUCUGGGUGGCUGGGAUCAGGGUGUUUGGAAGUGUUCGUAAAUGGCAACCAGCGCUGGUCAUCAGCACGAAGGAUUGGUGUGAGCGUAGGAGCAGAGGAGGCUUUGCACAGCACGUGUGUAUGGUUGGUUUUUUAAUUGUCUGUGCUCAGUAAAGAGCCAUUUCUUAAAAGACAUUGGAUUCUUUCCAAGCUGGUAUGGGAGCUGUAUUGUGAAAAGGAAGAGGGGAUUUCAAUUGUUGGCUGCUAUACCAAAUUAGAGGGUGAGAGGUUGCCGAGUAAAACUUGGAGCUUCUUCAAUUCCCUGGGAAAGUGAAUUAAUUUGAUUUGAAGUAUCUGGUGGUGCUGGAUUGAACAUCCUUUGUGCAGCACACUUGGCUGCAAAGGGGUUCCUAAUUUGGAAGGUUUAUUUUUGUGUGCACGUUCCAAUGAUUUACAAGCAGUGUUUGUUUACGCUUCCAUUUCUGUUGGGAAAGCUGAGCUCUGUUAGUCUGCUAGGUGUGAUGCUGCAUUUAAUGGUGGAGUGCCACAUACUGAUGGUUUGCAUUAGGCUUAAAAAAAAAAAGAAAAAAGCUCAACAUUUUAUUGUUGCUGCAAGUCCUCAUCUUGUUUGAUGUGGCUUCUGGUGGCAAAAGUCUCCAUAGGGUCCUCCUCAAGGUAGAUCUCUUCUAGAGGUCCCCUCUUGUCUUCAUUCUGAGAACUUGCAGCUGUAGGCUAGUUUCAUCUGCUGACAUAUUUCUGUGCUUUGGUUGAUGAUACAGAGCUCUAAUCUGCGUUCUGUUGAUUGCAGAGAAAAGGCUGAAUAUUGACUUCUGACAAAAUUAAAAUUGCCUUAAAUUGUUGUUUCUAUCCCCCUGGGUUGGCUGUUGGGAUGCUCAGUGUUGAGUGAACCACCUGUAUUGCUCAGAAGUGGGUGUGCUUGACUGCAGGUCUCCAGGCAUGUUUGAGCUGGUGAUGGCCUUGUAAUUGCUUUUGGUCUGACUUCAGGUGCUUCUGCUUUCUAGCAAAGAUGUUAGGAACCUUCGCUCAGGAAACCUCAGAUCUGUGCAUGGAAGCAUGUGUGAACACUUGGGAUGGAGUGCUGGAGCGUUGUUCAGACCCUCAAAGUAAGGCCAGGUGAAACAUUGGGGUGUGAUUCGACAUGAACAAUCAAUCAUCAGGAGCUAUUUGCACACAAUGCAUUUCCCAGUAGCAGUAGCCCCUUGGUACCCCUGCUCCUGAUAUCCAGGCUGUGCUUUUUUAUUUGAUGAACUCCUGCAUUCAGGUUGUUAACAGACUCGUCUGCUUUGCUGAGAUCUUCAGGCACUUUGCAAGAAGAGCUGGGGUUUGAAAAGCUCCAGCUCAGGUACGAGCAGGUCACCAGGUGUUGUCCAAAGCUCUUCAGCUCCUCCCAGCUUAAUGUAGCCAGGUGGGUUUUUUUUGUGCUUGCUGUAUUUAAAAGACUUCUGGUACGAAAUGCAGUCAGCUUUCGUUUGAGCCUCCAAAUAGUUAUGCUUCCAACAUGUAUGGGGUGAGGCUGUGUAGGAAGCAAUUGUAAGGACGUGUGAAGCCGGGCUGCCCUGAAGCUCGCCAGCACUGCCAGGACACCAGGUGCAAUGUGCAUCCUUCACUGCAUCUGCCCUGCACCAACCAACCUUUGAUCAUCUGGCUGUUCCAAAGGCCGCCUGUAUUGAUUGCAUCACGGCUCUCUGUGUGUUUGGUCUCCAGUCCUGGGAACUAAUUUGGGUUUGUGCUGCUCUGGGGGAGGUGAUGGGGAAAGUCACCGAGCUUUCCUUCUCCUCUUCCUCUAUCAGGUGAUCGAGGAGGAAAACAAGAAGUCUCUGUUCCUGAUGUACCUCAGUACUUAGCAAGUGUUUGAAGUUUUAAUCCUCUAGUCUGAUUAAUGCUUGCAGGCGGUGGCCCGCUGAAGGGAUCGCGGUGAGAAGUGUGAUGCACCUGGCUUAAAAGAUCAUUUCAAAGAGGAGGAAGGAUGGAGGUUUGAACUCCAUGGUGUUCUUACUCUGAAGCAACAGAUGGACUCUGCUGUCCUCACAGGCACAAAAGACAGCACAGAAACUGAUCUAACAACUCUUCUCCACAACAGCUCAAACAUUUGAGCAAAAAUACUUCAAAUAUAGUGUUUAACUGCAGAAUACACUGCAGUGGAGUUGUGCUGUGCACCUAGGGACAGGACUUGGAAAAUGGAGUGCAUGGGAGAUGGAGCUGCAGUCAGACAAGGGUAGCAGAAGGAGUUGGGUGCGAUGCAAUGUUCGGCCAGCUGGACUGCUUUACAUGCAUGAACUUGUUCUCAGGCACUUUCUGGAGCUUCAUCCCCCUUUACUGUAGUGCAGACAACUAUAGAUCGGUGACAUGGUUUAUGCUGAGGAAUUAGCAGUUACAGAAUCUCCUGUGCUGUGGCAGCUCGUGCUGACUUUCCUCUGGGAAGAGCUGGGGCAAGCAGAGAGCAGCUUCCGCAGGGGCAUUCGCAAAAUGUUUCACCCCAGACUGAAAGCUCCUGACUGCCUGCUUCUGGGGGUUCAGCUGCUGGGGAUGGAGACAGCACUGGCAAUGAUUCUGUCAGCCAGACUGCUUGCUGCUGCUAGGCAAGGUGCAGUGCUCAGCUGGGAGUGGGGACUGCGAUAACGGCCAGCUUGUUGUGUUUGUAUCUGAAAGCCUGAUAAGGGGAAGUGGCUGCUGGACGGUUGAGAGCCCUGAGGAGGGUGUGCCUUCUCUGCGGCCUUUCUCCUCCUGCUAUCUCUGACAGUGCAUAGCUGCCCAUCACAACAGGUUUCUUGUGGACUUCCUGGAACAUCCCACUUGUGUUUUGGAACUGGCUGUUUUCAGCUGAAACAGUGAAAUGUUUUUCUGUGGCUUCGUAUAAGGAAAAUACAUAAGCUCUGAAUUAGCUGGUGUUUUCUCCCCUCUAAAGCCGUGUAAUUUCAGUUCAAAGCUUUCAGCUUCCCUCCUUUUGGGUAAUUUAACAUCUUAGUUUCUCAGCCUCGUGAUUUAAUGUAGGAGAGAUCAAGACUGAAGAUAAUGGAUAUACAAAUUUUGGCUUUCAGAAGUGGUGUUCAUUGAAAACUAAUCGUUUCCAGACCUUCAAAAUGUCAUGGGACUUUUCCCCCUUAAUUGCCGUGUGUCAUCUCUAUCGAAAACCUUUGAAGCCAAGUGCAGAAGCUCUUUUGGUCAAUCCAGUUCCAAAGAAGAUAUGAAGAAGCAGAAGGAGUGGCCUGAGGAUUGCCUCACCGGGAUGUGUUGCACGUCUGUUUUCAGUCUCUUCCACCUGUACUGUGUAAAGAAGAUCCAUUAUUGAGGAGAAAGAAACGAUCCACCUGUUGCAUUGCUUCUCUUGCAUGCUUGGUUUUUAACACAGAUGCCUUGCUGGGUGCUGUGGUGCUGCCCUGCAUAUUGCAUUUAGGCAGCAGGAGCAAGAGCUGUAAAGUUUGACAAUUCGGUUAUGGAAAGAGUACAGAGCCUCCUACACAGGGCCGUAUGUUCCUGUCAUUGUGCUCUGUAUCAUUUAGCCUUUGUGUCACGUCUUUCUGGGAGAUAACCCCUGAGCUGCUUUGGGCACAGCAGGCAUUCUGCCACAUGUGAGUGCUGAGGCCAUGCAGCUGCCUGGCUUUCAAUGGGGAGCUGCUCGGAGGGAGAGAAGUGGAACCUGGCGUUCACUUCACUGCAGCCAUCUGCAGCCGAAUCCAUUUGUCAAAGUUCUUUCUGCUCAACUUAAUAAAUGUCCUCAAGUUGCUGUCUGUGAUAUAAGUGCUGCGUGCGGUGUGAGAUCUGAAGUUGAAGGCUAAAUUGGUAUUGCACUGGAAGGGUGACCUUUGUAUUUUUCCUGACGGCUCAGGAGAAUCAGUGCUGGAAGAACGUCCGCUUCUAUGGCUGGCAAAGGGCGCCAGGAGCCAUAGGAGCAAAAUCUGCGUGCCUUUUUGAGGACUCGGGGCUGUCUUCAUCUGACUUGGGUUCAUCAAAGGCUUUAAAAUCAAACUUCUAGAUUCCUGUAAGACUUACAGUUGAAACUUGAACUAUCAAGUCUUUGCUUUCUAUUGUAACAGUUACUUUGGAGUGUAAUUCCUGUGUCAACAAGUGCUUCAGAGCAUCAGCCGGGGCCGUUUUCCCAUAGCUCGGAUCCCUAAGCUGCUGGGUUGGAAAUCAAACCCAAAUACGAUUCCCUGCGUCUGCUCUGCUUUGCUCGAGGCCGAUGUGAGCGAGUCUCAGUGCCACGGUUUCUUCCUUGUCGUAAUGAGGAAUCGGAUUCAAUUAAAAGCAAAAAAAAUCAUUUCCAAUUACCCGUA